CCGGGGUGCUCUUUGCUGCUGGACCCUGAAAGAAAACGGCGGCAGAAAGAAGAUGGCGGGUAUUUGAUCAAGUGGAUGUCCCUGAAGAAAUGAAAUCUGGAAUGGUAGAAGGUGUCUCUAUUGAUUCUUCUAAGUUGGAAUUGGCCAUGGUGACCAACAAUGGAUUUGAGGACCUUAUGGUGGAGAAAAACGUCCUUCUUUCCGGCCUCCAAUUAGAUGUUGAAGAUGAUUAAUCACUUGAGGAGAUGCUAACAACCAUGUUGCCUUUUAAUGUCACAGUACUCUCUAAAGGCGGAAAUAUAUUUACCAUCACAAAAGAAGAAUCAACAAAUCGCGGAAACUAAAAAAAUGUGGAAAAGAUCAUUGUAUACUGCAUUUGUAGUAAAUUUGUAUACAAUCUUCAAUUUACUUGAGUAGAAAGAUUCACUAGUUAUACCAAGUUUGUCUAGAAAAAUCACUGUAUACUGAACAUAACACGACUUCUGUUUAAAACCUUCAUUUAAACUUAGGCAUGUAUUUUUUUAUGUAUCUUAAAAGUCUACCUACAACAAUUUUGUGUAUGCAAUCUUGUACUAGGAUAUUGACAUGACAAGAUUACAUUGCUGAUCAAAGCAUGGGAAGAAUACUGUAUCUAAAAACUGAGUAAAACAAGAUAUAAGCAUCUGUA
Ylistrum balloti is the source of this 667-nucleotide long non-coding RNA. RefSeq lists it as uncharacterized. The record is from RefSeq and is a predicted model, not a curated record. NCBI's taxonomy places the organism in Eukaryota, Metazoa, Mollusca, Bivalvia, Pectinida, Pectinidae. The transcript has 2 exons.